GACGAACGCUGGCGGCGUGCUUAACACAUGCAAGUCGAACGGACAGGCCCUGCUUUUGUGGGGUGCUCGAGUGGCGAACGGGUGAGUAACACGUGAGUAACCUGCCCUUGACUUUGGGAUAACUUCCGGAAACUGGGGCUAAUACCGGACAGGAGCCCCUGCUGCAUGGUGGGGGUUGGAAAGUUUCGGCGGUUGGGGAUGGACUCGCGGCUUAUCAGCUUGUUGGUGGGGUAGUGGCUUACCAAGGCUUUGACGGGUAGCCGGCCUGACAGGGUGACCGGCCCCAUUGGGACUGAGAUACGGCCCAGACUCCUACGGGAGGCAGCGGUGGGGAAUAUUGCACAAUGGGCGGAAGCCUGAUGCAGCAACGCCGCGUGCGGGAUGACCGCCUUCGGGUUGUAAACCGCUUUCGCCUGUGACGACGCGUGAGUGACGGUAAUGGGUAAAGAAGCACCGGCUAACUACGUG
RNAcentral lists this ribosomal RNA (468 nucleotides) under uncultured bacterium. Its description in RNAcentral is "partial 16S ribosomal RNA". It matches the Rfam family "Bacterial small subunit ribosomal RNA", at positions 28 to 507 of the family's 1533-position model. The record is from RNAcentral.